Molecule: non-coding RNA, 360 nt
Organism: Esox lucius (northern pike)
Lineage: Eukaryota; Metazoa; Chordata; Actinopteri; Esociformes; Esocidae
Source: the annotation of a RefSeq genome assembly
AUGGAGUCUUGGCUGAAGAAUAUUCUGAUUAUUGCAGCGUUUUAUUGUGAAUGCAGAGGAGAAGACUCGGUCACUCAGCCAACAGGAGAUGUGAUCACUACUGAGGGUGGACAGGUCACACUGGGCUGUACAUUUAAUAGUCAGGUGGCAAAUUCAUACCUGUUCUGGUACAAACAAGGAGCUAAUGACCACCCAAAAUACAUGCUUAUGCAGCCCAAAUAUGGAACUGGGGACAAUGCCGCAGACUUCAAAGAUAGAUUUCAUGCUGAUCUUGAUACCAAGACAAAUUCCAUCCCCUUGACGAUCCAGAGACUACAGCUGUCUGACUCUGCUGUGUACUACUGUGCUCUGAGUCCAUGC